GACGAACGCUGGCGGCGUGCUUAACACAUGCAAGUCGAACGGAAAGGCUCUGCUUUUGUGGUUUGCUCGAGUGGCGAACGGGUUUGUAACACGUGAGUAACCUGCCCUUUACUUUGGGAUAACUUCACGUAACUGUGGCUAAUACCGGAUAGGAGCUCCUGCUGCAUGGUUGGUGUUGGAAAGUUUCGGCGGUUGGGGAUCGACUCGCGGCUUAUCAGCUUGUUGGUGGGGUAGUGGCUUACCAAGGCUUUGACGGGUAGCCGGCCUGAGAGGGUGACCGGCAACAUUAGGACUGAGAUACGGCCCAGACUCAUACGGGAGGCAGGAGUGGAGAAGAUUACACAAUGGGCGGAAGCCUGAUGCAGCAACGCCGCGUGCGGGAUAACGGCCUUCGGGUUGUAAACCGAUUUCGCCUGUGACGAAGAGUGAGUGACGGUAAUGGGUAAAGAAGCACCGGCUAACUACGUG
RNAcentral lists this ribosomal RNA (468 nucleotides) under uncultured bacterium. RNAcentral's name for it is "partial 16S ribosomal RNA". It matches the Rfam family "Bacterial small subunit ribosomal RNA", at positions 28 to 507 of the family's 1533-position model. The record is from RNAcentral.